RNAcentral lists this unclassified non-coding RNA (259 nucleotides) under Hevea brasiliensis (rubber tree). The record is from RNAcentral. Lineage: Eukaryota; Viridiplantae; Streptophyta; Magnoliopsida; Malpighiales; Euphorbiaceae.
UUGCAAAAUGGAGAAAGCCAAAUAUUUAUUUCAAAAAAUCAAAAGAAAGGAUAGAGUUACAGACAUCAUAAACAAAGUCUUUGAGGUGAAAGACUUUAAUAGAUAUAAAGGCCAGUCUGUACUGAAUUUUGGUGCAGGAAGUCAGUUUAGUUUUUACGAGAAAAUUAAAAACAGACUGGGUCAUUUGGCCUUGCAAUCCACCUUUUUCCUUCAUGAUGAAGUUCAUCAUUGGCAGUUGGAGGAUUUUGCAAACUUUCUG